UGUCAUUCUUCGCAAACUCGUUACGACUUCCAUAUCUUAAAGUAGAUACAUAUUUUCAACUACCCAAGCGGAAUGACCAGAUCAGAUAUAGAUAUGACAAUUUGCUCAGGCCCAUUUCUAGCUAGCCAAACCAUGGUAUAAUCUAUGACCAUGGUCGUACCAACCAUAGUGACCCUAUCAGAUAUCUAAAGUCACGACAAUACUUAGCCAAGAGUGACUCCUAACAGAUAUUCACGUUACCAUUCUUGUCAGAGGGUAUGUCGUCAUCCACUAGGAGCGGUCCUCUUACAUUUUUCUAAACUAGAUAGAGGAGGGGGAAAUAGAUAUCUUGAAAGGGGCUAGGGAAAUAGAUACCCAUCGGAGAUAAAAAGUCUAACGAGACACUUAAUACAAUAUGCAUGUCAAUACAGAUACAUACUUCGGACUAUUCAUGCUUUAUUCGACCUUUCUCUUUUUCUUUGUUUCUUUCAUUUUUAUAUGUAACAAUACUGACUUUAUAUUAUAUUUUAUUACAUACAAAUCAUCAAGUGUCUAUAAUUCAUAUAACAUGCUUGAAAAUAAGAACUAUUCGACUUAUCUAAAC
This 583-nucleotide long non-coding RNA is filed under the name Carica papaya (papaya). RNAcentral describes it as "long non-coding RNA (CPAP_LNC003676)". Lineage: Eukaryota; Viridiplantae; Streptophyta; Magnoliopsida; Brassicales; Caricaceae. The record is from RNAcentral.